Long non-coding RNA from Lolium rigidum, 908 nucleotides. RefSeq lists it as uncharacterized. The record is from RefSeq and is a predicted model, not a curated record. Lineage: Eukaryota; Viridiplantae; Streptophyta; Magnoliopsida; Poales; Poaceae. The transcript is spliced from 3 exons.
GAUCCUGAAGAGAUGAACAUGUUGAUAUUUGUUGCUGCUAUUCUUGAUCCGAGGAACAAGCAAUCUGAACAUUUGAAGGUACCUGUUUUAUUGACAUAUGGUGAGACUAGAGGUGAACAAGUAUUGAAGAAGGCAAAUGAGACAUUGCACUCUCUUUUUGAAGAAUACAAGUGUAUGUAUGAGCAAGUUGGAAGCCAAGGUGAUGGCUCAGAAACACAACCUAGUUGUAGUCGCAGAUCAAAGGUUAAUUACUUCUUUUAUUUAUGGCAAGAAAAGGAAAGAAAAGCUGCAGCUGCUGCAGCUGCUGCUGAUGGCAGAACUGAAUUAGAGAGGUAUAUUUCUGAAGAGGUUGUAUGUGACGAUGAUGAUUUUGACAUUCUCCUUUGGUGGAAAUAUAGAAGACACCUGUUUCCAAUACUUUCGCGCAUGGCUCGUGAUAUAUUGGCCAUCCACAUGUCAACAGUUUCUUGUGAAUCAGCUUUUAGUACGGGCGGUUGUGUUCUUGACGAUUUUAGAAGCUCGUUGCCUCCUUUGGUGGUGCAAAGUUUGAUAUGUGCACAAGAUUGCGUUCGUCAACCGUCGAAUGGCGCGAAGAGUUGAGUGAAUUAAAGGCAUCGUACUACAAUGCAACUGAUGUUUUGGAACCAGUUCCAACUUCCAACAGCAACCAUCUGCUGACUCAGAGUGGCACCGAUGCUUGAAGAAUGAUCGAAUGGCGCCAUGAAUAUGUGUUGGAACUUUUGUAAUUAUGGUACACGAUAGCUCAGAAUUUGGAUGUGCUAUAUAAUCCUCUAGCGUUGGAAGCUGGACUUUUCUUGAACUUAGUUGAAAGUUUGACUCUAAAUCUGUUAUACAUAAACUGGGGCAUCAUAUAUUUUAGAACUUCAACUUUGGAAAUGAAACUGCUU